This 73-nucleotide transfer RNA is filed under the name Trichonephila clavata. It matches the Rfam family "tRNA". From Rfam's summary of the family: Transfer RNA (tRNA) molecules are approximately 80 nucleotides in length. Their secondary structure includes four short double-helical elements and three loops (D, anti-codon, and T loops). Further hydrogen bonds mediate the characteristic L-shaped molecular structure. tRNAs have two regions of fundamental functional importance: the anti-codon, which is responsible for specific mRNA codon recognition, and the 3' end, to which the tRNAs corresponding amino acid is attached (by aminoacyl-tRNA synthetases). tRNAs cope with the degeneracy of the genetic code in two manners: having more than one tRNA (with a specific anti-codon) for a particular amino acid; and 'wobble' base-pairing, i.e. permitting non-standard base-pairing at the 3rd anti-codon position. The record is from Rfam by way of RNAcentral. Lineage: Eukaryota; Metazoa; Arthropoda; Arachnida; Araneae; Nephilidae.
GUCCCUGUAGCGAAACAGAUAGCGCGUUGGACUUCUAUUCCAAAGAUCGUGGGUUCGAAUCCUACCUGGGAUG